CGCUGUAACUGAAAAAAAGUUGUGAAAUUCCAUAGCGUAGUAAAACUUCAAAGCGUGCAGUAAUUAUUAAAUUUAAUUAGUAAAGCUCUUUCUCAACACUCAUGGAAACAUAUUUUAAUUAAAUGGACAUGCACGCGAAUAUUUUUUUAUUUAAACCAAUGUUGUUUUAUUGAAUUAAUUAGGUACUUAGUUAAAAAGGAAUCAAACACAUGAUACGCGCUAGUGGUAAUAUUAUAUAGCUUCAGUGGGGGUCAGGCAAAUAUCAACAUUAUCAGCCUUGGGAUAACAAUGUAAAGGAGAGUAUUCAAUAGUACAUGUUGAACACGUUACUCGCGAUAUUUGCAACGUUUCCCGCCAUUAAGGAUCUCCUACACGCCAAACUGUUAUUCGAGGUGCCCGAGCCGGUGUCCGCACCACCGGUCUUAGUAUCAGAAACUGUAUUCAGGGAAGUUAAGAUGUCGAAACCAAAUAGUGCCAUCCAGGAGACCCUAGAAGACAGAGAUCCAAAUAAUCUUAACAAACAUGUACAGAUAGUAUGGGACGACGUGAUCGGCGAGCCAGAGGGCGCCCGCAGCCCGGAGUGUGCCUGGAGCCUCAGCCACGCCUGCUUCCGACACUCCCGGAACUGGUGCUACACCUUCUUAUCAGUCCUGAUA
Leptidea sinapis is the source of this 656-nucleotide long non-coding RNA. RefSeq lists it as uncharacterized. The record is from RefSeq and is a predicted model, not a curated record. The transcript is spliced from 3 exons. Lineage: Eukaryota; Metazoa; Arthropoda; Insecta; Lepidoptera; Pieridae.